This 2481-nucleotide ribosomal RNA is filed under the name Salmonella enterica subsp. enterica serovar Typhimurium. RNAcentral describes it as "partial 23S ribosomal RNA". It matches the Rfam family "Bacterial large subunit ribosomal RNA", at positions 424 to 2802 of the family's 2925-position model. The record is from RNAcentral. Lineage: Bacteria; Pseudomonadati; Pseudomonadota; Gammaproteobacteria; Enterobacterales; Enterobacteriaceae.
ACGUGGUAUCCUGUCUGAAUAUGGGGGGACCAUCCUCCAAGGCUAAAUACUCCUGACUGACCGAUAGUGAACCAGUACCGUGAGGGAAAGGCGAAAAGAACCCCGGCGAGGGGAGUGAAAAAGAACCUGAAACCGUGUACGUACAAGCAGUGGGAGCACAGGUUUACCUGUGUGACUGCGUACCUUUUGUAUAAUGGGUCAGCGACUUAUAUUCUGUAGCAAGGUUAACCGUAUAGGGGAGCCGUAGGGAAACCGAGUCUUAACCGGGCGUUAAGUUGCAGGGUAUAGACCCGAAACCCGGUGAUCUAGCCAUGGGCAGGUUGAAGGUUGGGUAACACUAACUGGAGGACCGAACCGACUAAUGUUGAAAAAUUAGCGGAUGACCUGUGGCUGGGGGUGAAAGGCCAAUCAAACCGGGAGAUAGCUGGUUCUCCCCGAAAGCUAUUUAGGUAGCGCCUCGUGAAUUCAUCUCCGGGGGUAGAGCACUGUUUCGGCUAGGGGGCCAUCCCGGCUUACCAACCCGAUGCAAACUGCGAAUACCGGAGAAUGUUAUCACGGGAGACACACGGCGGGUGCUAACGUCCGUCGUGAAGAGGGAAACAACCCAGACCGCCAGCUAAGGUCCCAAAGUCAUGGUUAAGUGGGAAACGAUGUGGGAAGGCCCAGACAGCCAGGAUGUUGGCUUAGAAGCAGCCAUCAUUUAAAGAAAGCGUAAUAGCUCACUGGUCGAGUCGGCCUGCGCGGAAGAUGUAACGGGGCUAAACCAUGCACCGAAGCUGCGGCAGCGAACGUAUCACCCAAGACAACUUUACGGAGUUGACGAUUGACGGAGCGAAGCGACGUCAAAGCGUUCAUUAAAGUCGAGUUGGCUUAGGGAUACGUUCGUUGGGUAGGGGAGCGUUCUGUAAGCCUGUGAAGGUGUGUCGUGAGGCAUGCUGGAGGUAUCAGAAGUGCGAAUGCUGACAUAAGUAACGAUAAAGCGGGUGAAAAGCCCGCUCGCCGGAAGACCAAGGGUUCCUGUCCAACGUUAAUCGGGGCAGGGUGAGUCGACCCCUAAGGCGAGGCCGAAAGGCGUAGUCGAUGGGAAACGGGUUAAUAUUCCCGUACUUGGUGUUACUGCGAAGGGGGGACGGAGAAGGCUAUGUUGGCCGGGCGACGGUUGUCCCGGUUUAAGCGUGUAGGUGUGUGUUCCAGGUAAAUCCGGUUCACUUUAACACUGAGGCGUGACGACGAGGCACUACGGUGCUGAAGCAACAAAUGCCCUGCUUCCAGGAAAAGCCUCUAAGCAUCAGGUAACACGAAAUCGUACCCCAAACCGACACAGGUGGUCAGGUAGAGAAUACCAAGGCGCUUGAGAGAACUCGGGUGAAGGAACUAGGCAAAAUGGUGCCGUAACUUCGGGAGAAGGCACGCUGACACGUAGGUGAAGUGAUUUACUCAUGGAGCUGAAGUCAGUCGAAGAUACCAGCUGGCUGCAACUGUUUAUUAAAAACACAGCACUGUGCAAACACGAAAGUGGACGUAUACGGUGUGACGCCUGCCCGGUGCCGGAAGGUUAAUUGAUGGGGUCAGCGCAAGCGAAGCUCCUGAUCGAAGCCCCGGUAAACGGCGGCCGUAACUAUAACGGUCCUAAGGUAGCGAAAUUCCUUGUCGGGUAAGUUCCGACCUGCACGAAUGGCGUAAUGAUGGCCAGGCUGUCUCCACCCGAGACUCAGUGAAAUUGAACUCGCUGUGAAGAUGCAGUGUACCCGCGGCAAGACGGAAAGACCCCGUGAACCUUUACUAUAGCUUGACACUGAACAUUGAGCCUUGAUGUGUAGGAUAGGUGGGAGGCUUUGAAGUGUGGACGCCAGUCUGCAUGGAGCCGACCUUGAAAUACCACCCUUUAAUGUUUGAUGUUCUAACGUGGACCCGUAAUCCGGGUUGCGGACAGUGUCUGGUGGGUAGUUUGACUGGGGCGGUCUCCUCCUAAAGAGUAACGGAGGAGCACGAAGGUUGGCUAAUCCUGGUCGGACAUCAGGAGGUUAGUGCAAUGGCAUAAGCCAGCUUGACUGCGAGCGUGACGGCGCGAGCAGGUGCGAAAGCAGGUCAUAGUGAUCCGGUGGUUCUGAAUGGAAGGGCCAUCGCUCAACGGAUAAAAGGUACUCCGGGGAUAACAGGCUGAUACCGCCCAAGAGUUCAUAUCGACGGCGGUGUUUGGCACCUCGAUGUCGGCUCAUCACAUCCUGGGGCUGAAGUAGGUCCCAAGGGUAUGGCUGUUCGCCAUUUAAAGUGGUACGCGAGCUGGGUUUAGAACGUCGUGAGACAGUUCGGUCCCUAUCUGCCGUGGGCGCUGGAGAACUGAGGGGGGCUGCUCCUAGUACGAGAGGACCGGAGUGGACGCAUCACUGGUGUUCGGGUUGUCAUGCCAAUGGCACUGCCCGGUAGCUAAAUGCGGAAGAGAUAAGUGCUGAAAGCAUCUAAGCACGAAACUUGCCCCGA